Molecule: ribosomal RNA, 397 nt
Filed under: uncultured bacterium
Lineage: Bacteria
Description: partial 16S ribosomal RNA
Rfam family: Bacterial small subunit ribosomal RNA
Source: RNAcentral
CCUACGGGUGGCAGCAGUGAGGAAUAUUGGUCAAUGGGCGCAAGCCUGAACCAGCCAAGUAGCGUGAGGGAAGACUGCCCUACGGGUUGUAAACUGCUUUUGUAAGGGGAUAACGUCAGCUACGUGUACCUGUCUGCAGGUACCGUACGAAUAAGGCUCGGCUAACUCCGUGCCAGCAGCCGCGGUAAUACGGAGGAUUCGAGCGUUAUCCGGAUUUAUUGGGUUUAAAGGGUGCGUAGGCGGGCUGUUAAGGCAGGGGUGAAAGUCGGGGGCUCAAACCUGGAAUUGCAGUUGAUACUGGCAGUCUUGAGUGGAGUUGAGGUAGGCGGAAUUCGUGGUGUAGCGGUGAAAUGCUUAGAUAUCACGCAGAACUCCGAUUGCGAAGGCAGCUUACCAA